UCGAAACCUGCCCAGCAGAACGACCCGCGAACAUGUUCCCGGCUAACGGGCGUSNNNNNNUUGGGGCGCCUUGUGKGCCUUCAUGCCCCUCGUCCAUGCAGGGGGAUGCUCACUCGUGAUGCAUNCUCCUGCUGCCAAAACGAACCCCGGCGCGAAAAGCGUCAAGGAAUACAACAAAAGUGUGUGCCUCUGUCCCGCCCGGUCAGCCGGCGUGGGGGAGGUGCCAUGUCUUAAUAACAAUA
Molecule: ribosomal RNA, 242 nt
Filed under: Saponaria calabrica
Lineage: Eukaryota; Viridiplantae; Streptophyta; Magnoliopsida; Caryophyllales; Caryophyllaceae
Source: RNAcentral